This 74-nucleotide transfer RNA is filed under the name Toxocara canis (dog roundworm). It matches the Rfam family "tRNA". Rfam says of the family: Transfer RNA (tRNA) molecules are approximately 80 nucleotides in length. Their secondary structure includes four short double-helical elements and three loops (D, anti-codon, and T loops). Further hydrogen bonds mediate the characteristic L-shaped molecular structure. tRNAs have two regions of fundamental functional importance: the anti-codon, which is responsible for specific mRNA codon recognition, and the 3' end, to which the tRNAs corresponding amino acid is attached (by aminoacyl-tRNA synthetases). tRNAs cope with the degeneracy of the genetic code in two manners: having more than one tRNA (with a specific anti-codon) for a particular amino acid; and 'wobble' base-pairing, i.e. permitting non-standard base-pairing at the 3rd anti-codon position. Lineage: Eukaryota; Metazoa; Nematoda; Chromadorea; Rhabditida; Toxocaridae. The record is from Rfam by way of RNAcentral. RNAcentral also lists the same sequence under 2 other names.
GCCGCCAUAGCUCAGUCGGUUAGAGCGUGGGUCUAAUAAGCCCAAGGUCGCAGGUUCGACCCCUGCUGGCAGCA